Molecule: long non-coding RNA, 603 nt
Filed under: Nicotiana benthamiana
Lineage: Eukaryota; Viridiplantae; Streptophyta; Magnoliopsida; Solanales; Solanaceae
Description: long non-coding RNA (NBEN_LNC015330)
Source: RNAcentral
CUGGACGACGACGAGUACUUUUUGGACGACGACGAGGAUGAGAGAGGGAGGGAGAAGAAGCUGAAACUCUUGCUGAAGCUGCAGCAGAGCGAUGAAGGCGGCGCUGCUGAGUCAACUCCGAGUCGGACUCGGCAAGGACCUGCCACGUCGGCAUCAUCCUCCGACGAUGACGAAGGACGGAAGCCCUCGAAGAAGAGGAAAAUUAGCGGCGACGAUGACGAAGAAGAGUUGCUCAAGCUGCAGCAGAGCGAUGAAGGCGGCGCUGCUGAGUCAACUCCGAGUCGGACUCGGCAAGGACCUGCCACGUCGGCAUCCUCCUCCGACGAUGACGAAGGACGGAAGCCCUCUAAGAAGAGGAAAGUUAGCGGCGACGAUGACGACGAAGAAGAAAAUGACGAUGACAUUGAAAUUGAAAAUGAAAAUGACAUUGAAAUUGAAAAUGAAAAUGAAAUUGAAAUUGAAACUGAAAAUGAUGAUGAGGUAAGCGUGAACUGUGAAGUGUUGUUCGUGAGUUAAAAUUGAGAGCAAAAGGAGGGAAGAAAGUAGAAAGUCCAGCUCAGCUGAGUUUAGUUCACUGAUAUUUUUUGUAAUUGGACCAGAAGA